Molecule: ribosomal RNA, 497 nt
Filed under: uncultured bacterium
Lineage: Bacteria
Description: partial 16S ribosomal RNA
Rfam family: Bacterial small subunit ribosomal RNA
Source: RNAcentral
GAUGAACGCUGGCGGCGUGCCUAAUACAUGCAAGUCGAGCGAACAGACGAGGAGCUUGCUCCUCUGACGUUAGCGGCGGACGGGUGAGUAACACGUGGAUAACCUACCUAUAAGACUGGGAUAACUUCGGGAAACCGGAGCUAAUACCGGAUAAUAUAUUGAACCGCAUGGUUCAAUAGUGAAAGACGGUGUUGCUGUCACUUAUAGAUGGAUCCGCGCCGCAUUAGCUAGUUGGUAAGGUAACGGCUUACCAAGGCAACGAUGCGUAGCCGACCUGAGAGGGUGAUCGGCCACACUGGAGCUGAGACGCGGUCCAGACUCCUACGGGAGGCAGCAGUAGGGAAUCUUCCGCAGUGGGCGAAAGCCUGACGGAGCAACGCCGCGUGAGUGAUGAAGGUCUUCGGAUCGUAAAACUCUGUUAUUAGGGAAGAACAAAUGUGUAAGUAACUAUGCACUUCUUGACGGUACCUAAUCAGAAAGCCACGGCUAACUACGUG